GGCAUAUGCAAGUGCCUCAUCUGGAGUCAAAGAUGUUAUGUAUCUCAGCAUAUUGUUGGACUUGUUUCUAACAGGUGAAGAAGGGAAAAUAACUUUAUCUACUGCAUCCACAUGCUUCCUACUUUUCUGCUGUCUCGAAACUUGCUGUCGUCUUUCCAGGACCUGCUGUGUUUCGUUCAGUCUAUCUGUAGAGUUGAGUGAAACAACUAGGGGGGCAUGCUGACUAAGGUUAAACCGCAUAUCUU
RNAcentral lists this unclassified non-coding RNA (245 nucleotides) under Hevea brasiliensis (rubber tree). Lineage: Eukaryota; Viridiplantae; Streptophyta; Magnoliopsida; Malpighiales; Euphorbiaceae. The record is from RNAcentral.